GCUAGUAAUCGCAGAUCAGCAUGCUGCGGUGAAUACGUUCCCGGGUCUUGUACACACCGCCCGUCACACCAUGGGAGUCGGAAAUGCCCGAAGUCUGUGACCUAACCGUAAGGAAGGAGCAGCCGAAGGCAGGUCGGAUGACUGGGGUGAAGUCGUAACAAGGUAAC
RNAcentral lists this ribosomal RNA (167 nucleotides) under uncultured bacterium. RNAcentral's name for it is "partial 16S ribosomal RNA". It matches the Rfam family "Bacterial small subunit ribosomal RNA", at positions 1334 to 1500 of the family's 1533-position model. The record is from RNAcentral.